This is a long non-coding RNA of Gallus gallus (chicken), 581 nucleotides long. NCBI's taxonomy places the organism in Eukaryota, Metazoa, Chordata, Aves, Galliformes, Phasianidae. The record is from Ensembl.
CGCUGCGCCGCGCCGCACCGGCGGACGUUUGCCCGGCAGAGGCGCGCGGGACGGCCUCGAGGGUCAGCUGUUGGUUACCCCGCGGAGUGCCACGCGUCUGCUCUCGUGGUGCCCCGUUGUUGGGGGGGAGUGAGAAGGAGAAAGGCAGAGCAGAGAGCGCGCAACGCGGUCGCCGUGGCAACGCGGUUGAGUGGGCGUUUCGCCGAGCGUCGCCGUCAGAGGUAGUCGGCGAGCUCACGUCCACAUGGCGAAGCCGGCUUACCGUGCCCGAUCCGGAGCCCCGCGGUGCCCCCCGGUUAAGCCACAGUGAAUGGGGACCCACCAGAAUGCCUUGACAUCACAAUAAGGUGUGCCUCACAAUGCCUGGGUGAGCCCUGAAGCCUACAUGGCACCUGUGGGACUGCUGUGGGAAAGAAGAUCAACAACAGCCAUGAUUUGAUGAAGUGCAUCCAGAUCAUUCAACAUGCUAGAAACUGAUGUAGGAUGCACAGACUCGUGAAUCCCUCUGCCCCACUAGUCGCUGAACUGGGCUGAAGCAGCCCAUAAACCACUGACAGAGAACCUCAUGAAGUUCAACAAAG